AGUCUAGAGUAACAUUCUAUUAGGAGAAUGACAGUUCAUAAUAGAAACAGCAAUUAAAUAAGAAUUAUUAUUUUGCAGACACAAAGCAAUGAGGAGCAGCCUGGAGCAACACAUUUGAUCUUCAGUGGCUUUACAAAGGACCAAGUGAUGGCAGAACUAAAGCCAUAUGCCUCAAAAGAGAAAGGUACAGCAAAGCUCUUCAGAAUGCUAUUCAAUAUAGAAGAGAUUAAAGGCCGCUCAUUGUUUGGUAUGAGGAAACGGAACAGAGAGAGUCUGACGCCAGACCUUCUCGUGCAGACAAGGCAAAACUUAAGUUCUUGGAAGAUUGUGCCCUCGAAAAGUU
This is a long non-coding RNA of Ruditapes philippinarum (Manila clam), 343 nucleotides long. RefSeq lists it as uncharacterized. The transcript has 3 exons. The record is from RefSeq and is a predicted model, not a curated record. Lineage: Eukaryota; Metazoa; Mollusca; Bivalvia; Venerida; Veneridae.